RNAcentral lists this ribosomal RNA (492 nucleotides) under uncultured bacterium. RNAcentral's name for it is "partial 16S ribosomal RNA". It matches the Rfam family "Bacterial small subunit ribosomal RNA", at positions 28 to 507 of the family's 1533-position model. The record is from RNAcentral.
GAUGAACGCUAGCUACAGGCUUAACACAUGCAAGUCGAGGGGAAACGACAUCGAAAGCUUGCUUUUGAUGGGCGUCGACCGGCGCACGGGUGAGUAACGCGUAUCCAACCUGCCCAUCACUUGGGGACAACAUUGCGAAAGUAAGACUAAUACACAAUGAUAACUCUAGAAGACAUCUGAAAGAGAUUAAAGAUUUAUCGGUGAUGGAUGGGGAUGCGUCUGAUUAGCUUGUUGGCGGGGUAACGGCCCACCAAGGCAACGAUCAGUAGGGGUUCUGAGAGUAAGGUCCCCUACAUUGGAACCAAGACACAGUCCAAACUCCUACGCGAGGCAGCAGUGAGGAAUAUUAGGCGAUGGGCGAUAGCCUGAACCAGCCAAGUAGCUUGCAGGAAUCCGGCCCUAUUGGUUGUAAACUGCUUUUAUAAGAGAAUAAAGUGAGAGUCGUGACUCUUUUUGUAUGUACCUUAUGAAUAAGGACCGGCUAAUUCCGUG